RNAcentral lists this ribosomal RNA (1555 nucleotides) under Lactiplantibacillus plantarum. RNAcentral describes it as "Lactobacillus plantarum 16S ribosomal RNA". It matches the Rfam family "Bacterial small subunit ribosomal RNA". Lineage: Bacteria; Bacillati; Bacillota; Bacilli; Lactobacillales; Lactobacillaceae. The record is from RNAcentral.
AGAGUUUGAUCCUGGCUCAGGACGAACGCUGGCGGCGUGCCUAAUACAUGCAAGUCGAACGAACUCUGGUAUUGAUUGGUGCUUGCAUCAUGAUUUACAUUUGAGUGAGUGGCGAACUGGUGAGUAACACGUGGGAAACCUGCCCAGAAGCGGGGGAUAACACCUGGAAACAGAUGCUAAUACCGCAUAACAACUUGGAUCGCAUGGUCCGAGUUUGAAAGAUGGCUUCGGCUAUCACUUUUGGAUGGUCCCGCGGCGUAUUAGCUAGAUGGUGAGGUAACGGCUCACCAUGGCAAUGAUACGUAGCCGACCUGAGAGGGUAAUCGGCCACAUUGGGACUGAGACACGGCCCAAACUCCUACGGGAGGCAGCAGUAGGGAAUCUUCCACAAUGGACGAAAGUCUGAUGGAGCAACGCCGCGUGAGUGAAGAAGGGUUUCGGCUCGUAAAACUCUGUUGUUAAAGAAGAACAUAUCUGAGAGUAACUGUUCAGGUAUUGACGGUAUUUAACCAGAAAGCCAUGGCUAACUACGUGCCAGCAGCCGCGGUAAUACGUAGGUGGCAAGCGUUGUCCGGAUUUAUUGGGCGUAAAGCGAGCGCAGGCGGUUUUUUAAGUCUGAUGUGAAAGCCUUCGGCUCAACCGAAGAAGUGCAUCGGAAACUGGGAAACUUGAGUGCAGAAGAGGACAGUGGAACUCCAUGUGUAGCGGUGAAAUGCGUAGAUAUAUGGAAGAACACCAGUGGCGAAGGCGGCUGUCUGGUCUGUAACUGACGCUGAGGCUCGAAAGUAUGGGUAGCAAACAGGAUUAGAUACCCUGGUAGUCCAUACCGUAAACGAUGAAUGCUAAGUGUUGGAGGGUUUCCGCCCUUCAGUGCUGCAGCUAACGCAUUAAGCAUUCCGCCUGGGGAGUACGGCCGCAAGGCUGAAACUCAAAGGAAUUGACGGGGGCCCGCACAAGCGGUGGAGCAUGUGGUUUAAUUCGAAGCUACGCGAAGAACCUUACCAGGUCUUGACAUACUAUGCAAAUCUAAGAGAUUAGACGUUCCCUUCGGGGACAUGGAUACAGGUGGUGCAUGGUUGUCGUCAGCUCGUGUCGUGAGAUGUUGGGUUAAGUCCCGCAACGAGCGCAACCCUUAUUAUCAGUUGCCAGCAUUAAGUUGGGCACUCUGGUGAGACUGCCGGUGACAAACCGGAGGAAGGUGGGGAUGACGUCAAAUCAUCAUGCCCCUUAUGACCUGGGCUACACACGUGCUACAAUGGAUGGUACAACGAGUUGCGAACUCGCGAGAGUAAGCUAAUCUCUUAAAGCCAUUCUCAGUUCGGAUUGUAGGCUGCAACUCGCCUACAUGAAGUCGGAAUCGCUAGUAAUCGCGGAUCAGCAUGCCGCGGUGAAUACGUUCCCGGGCCUUGUACACACCGCCCGUCACACCAUGAGAGUUUGUAACACCCAAAGUCGGUGGGGUAACCUUUUAGGAACCAGCCGCCUAAGGUGGGACAGAUGAUUAGGGUGAAGUCGUAACAAGGUAGCCGUAGGAGAACCUGCGGCUGGAUCACCU